This 460-nucleotide ribosomal RNA is filed under the name uncultured bacterium. RNAcentral describes it as "partial 16S ribosomal RNA". It matches the Rfam family "Bacterial small subunit ribosomal RNA", at positions 338 to 795 of the family's 1533-position model. The record is from RNAcentral.
CCUACGGGAGGCUGCAGUGAGGAAUAUUGGUCAAUGGACGAGAGUCUGAACCAGCCAAGUAGCGUGAAGGAUGACUGCCCUAUGGUUUGUAAACUUCUUUUAUAUGGGAAUAAAACGUUCCACGUGUGGGAUUUUGUAUGUACCAUAUGAAUAAGCAUCGGCUAACUCCGUGCCAGCAGCCGCGGUAAUACGGAGGAUCCGAGCGUUAUCCGGAUUUAUUGGGUUUAAAGGGAGCGUAGGUGGAUUAUUAAGUCAGUUGUGAAAGUUUGUGGCUCAACCGUAAAAUUGCAGUUGAAACUGGCAGUCUUGAGUACAGUAGAGGUGGGCGGAAUGCGUGGUGUAGCGGUGAAAUGCUUAGAUAUCACGAAGAACUCCGAUUGCGAAGGCAGUUCACUAGACUGCAACUGACACUGAGGCUCGAAAGUGUGGGUAUCAAACAGGAUUAGAUACCCGAGUAGUC